Molecule: transfer RNA, 64 nt
Filed under: Camelus bactrianus (Bactrian camel)
Lineage: Eukaryota; Metazoa; Chordata; Mammalia; Artiodactyla; Camelidae
Also listed under: 3 other names
Rfam family: tRNA
About the family: Transfer RNA (tRNA) molecules are approximately 80 nucleotides in length. Their secondary structure includes four short double-helical elements and three loops (D, anti-codon, and T loops).
Source: Rfam by way of RNAcentral
GAGGGUAUAGCUCAGUGGUAGAGCAAAUGCUUAGUGCUCCUGGGUUCAAUUCCCAGGACCUCCA